GUCACUUCCCGAUGAAUUGAACGUUAUUAAUUGACAGUUGACUUCCGAUCGAUCAAAAUAUUUUCGAAUAUGAAAAAUGAUUUCUAUUAGUGGAAAAUGCCGAAUCAAGUGGAUCAAUCCAAUGCAGCAUGACAACAUAGUAAGUUGCUUUCCUUUGGUUUACUGAAGAAUGCUUUAACUUUGAAAUUUCUAACCUUAAUUACGUUUGUUUACAAUGUAUCUACCAUAAGUUUACGAAUUAAAUUGGGAUUGCGAUGGCUACCCUAUUUUCAAAAUACGACCAGUGAUUCCGAGACAUGCAAUUUGGAUUAGAAACCUCAUGUCGCCCUGAAAUUGAGCAAAACCAAUUGUUAUUUAUUAGGAUGAACACCUAACUGAAUUUAAGUGUUUUACUGGCGCAUGCACCAUUUGUGCUCAGAAGGGCCGGAAGUAAGGACGAGAUGUGCGCUGGAAUAUAGAGGAACUGAAACUAAUUACCUUUCAUAUCUGUGUGUAUGCCUAUUAUUUGGUAUCUGUUAAAAUUAUAUUAAUUAAUAUUGUGGAUUAAACUUAGGUAUUCAAAUAGCAAUUUUCUGAUUUGAGGUAAAUCUAGCCUGUAAGAAAUGCCAAAUUUGG
Molecule: long non-coding RNA, 615 nt
Organism: Cylas formicarius (sweet potato weevil)
Lineage: Eukaryota; Metazoa; Arthropoda; Insecta; Coleoptera; Brentidae
Exons: 3
Source: RefSeq, a predicted model, not a curated record